Molecule: non-coding RNA, 283 nt
Filed under: Blautia sp.
Lineage: Bacteria; Bacillati; Bacillota; Clostridia; Lachnospirales; Lachnospiraceae
Description: T-box sequence
Rfam family: T-box leader
About the family: Uncharged tRNA acts as the effector for transcription antitermination of genes in the T-box leader family. T-boxes are found upstream of many aminoacyl-tRNA synthetase genes and some amino acid biosynthetic genes usually in Gram-positive bacteria.
Source: RNAcentral
UUUAAACCGUUGAACAAGAGUAGUAGGUAAAAAUAUUUGUUUACAGAGAGUUCCGGGGGGUGAGAUCGGAACAGCAAGAGUUUUUAUUGAAUGGACUUGUGAGGGCAGCUCGAAAUUUCUUGGGAAAGAGUAGACGCUGACGGGUGUACCGAUCCGUUAUCAGCAGGGAGUGUAUGUCAGUACAUGUAAAGAGUGGCCAGGAGUCUUUUUGUUUUAUCAAUAGAAGAAAAGAACAACUGGCAAUUUGGGUGGUACCGCAGGAGAUGAUUCCCCUGUCCCAAUA